RNAcentral lists this ribosomal RNA (310 nucleotides) under Micrutalis calva. Its description in RNAcentral is "partial 12S small subunit ribosomal RNA". The record is from RNAcentral. Lineage: Eukaryota; Metazoa; Arthropoda; Insecta; Hemiptera; Membracidae.
UUAGAAUAUAAGUAGUUAUAUUCUUCAUAACUCAAAGAAUUUGGCGGUUAAUUUUAUUUUCAGAGGAAUCUGUAUAUUAAUUGAUAAACCACGAUAUAACCAACUUUUAUUUUAUUUGUAUAUCUCUAUAUUAUAGAAUGUUUUAAAAGAAAAUUUUCUUUUUGAUUUUUCAUAAAUUUUAGGUCAAGGUGCAGUUUUAUAAAUGUUUAUAUGGAUUACUUUAUUUUUAAUUUUAAAUUAAAAAUUUUCUUUUUGAAUAAUUAAAAUGGGAUUUGAUAGUAAAUUAUUUUAAUUAAUUUUUUUGAAUAUU